UGGGGAAUCUUGCGCAAUGGGCGAAAGCCUGACGCAGCCAUGCCGCGUGAAUGAUGAAGGUCUUAGGAUUGUAAAAUUCUUUCACCGGGGACGAUAAUGACGGUACCCGGAGAAGAAGCCCCCGGCUAACUUCGUGCCAGCAGCCGCGGUAAUACAAAGGGGGCUAGCGUUGCUCGGAAUUACUGGGCGUAAAGGGAGCGUAGGCGGACAUUUUAAGUCAGGGGUGAAAUCCCGGGGCUCAACCUCGGAACUGCCUUUGAUACUGGGUGUCUUGAGUGUGAUAGAGGUAUGUGGAACUCCGAGUGUAGAGGUGAAAUUCGUAGAUAUUCGGAAGAACACCAGUGGCGAAGGCGACAUACUGGAUCAUUACUGACGCUGAGGCUCGAAAGCGUGGGGAGCAAACNGGAUUAGAUACCCUGGUNGUCCACGCCGUAAACGAUGAUUGCUAGUUGUCGGGGUGUUUACACCUCGUGACGCAGCUAACGCAUUAA
This 491-nucleotide ribosomal RNA is filed under the name uncultured bacterium. Its description in RNAcentral is "partial 16S ribosomal RNA". It matches the Rfam family "Bacterial small subunit ribosomal RNA", at positions 355 to 863 of the family's 1533-position model. The record is from RNAcentral.